UACAGAGGGGGCAAGCGUUAUUCGGAAUUAUUGGGCGUAAAGGGCGCGUAGGCGGCUUUGCAAGUGGCGGGUGAAAUCCCUCGGCUUAACCGAGGAACUGCCUGCCAGACUGUGAGGCUUGAGUCCGGAAGAGGUGAGUGGAACUCCGAGUGUAGAGGUGAAAUUCGUAGAUAUUCGGAAGAACACCAGUGGCGAAGGCGGCUCACUGGUCCGGUACUGACGCUGAGGUGCGAAAGCGUGGGGAGCAAACAGG
RNAcentral lists this ribosomal RNA (253 nucleotides) under uncultured bacterium. RNAcentral describes it as "partial 16S ribosomal RNA". It matches the Rfam family "Bacterial small subunit ribosomal RNA", at positions 524 to 776 of the family's 1533-position model. The record is from RNAcentral.